UGGGGUGACGGCGUGCCUAUCGAAAAAUGAGUCUGCGAGUCAGUGGCGGGUGGCGAGCAUAAGCCGUGUGGCGUAUGCGUAGCGAAAGCGAGUCUUAAAAGGCGUUUGUAGUCGCUUGUCCUGGACCCGAAGCGGGAUGAUCUAGCCCUGGGCAGGUUGAAGCGCGGGUAAGACCGCGUGGAGGACCGAACCCACCUGGGUUGAAAACCGGGGGGAUGACCUGGGGCUAGGGGUGAAAGGCCAAUCAAAUUCCGUGAUAGCUGGUUCUCUCCGAAAUGCAUUUAGGUGCAGCGUCGGUCGAUUGCGUCGCGGGGGUAGAGCUACCGGAUGCUUGCGGGCCCUUGUUGGGUACCAACAGCAGCCGAACUCCGAAUACCGUUGACGUGUAUUCCGGCAGUGAGUCGGCGGGGGAUAAGCUCCGUCGUCGAGAGGGAGACAGCCCAGAUCGUCGUCUAAGGUCCCGAAGCGUGUGCUAAGUGGGAAAGGAUGUGGAGUCGCAUAGACAGCCAGGAGGUUGGCUCAGAAGCAGCCAUCCUUGAAAGAGUGCGUAACAGCUCACUGGUCUAGUGGUUCCGCGCCGACAAUGUAGCGGGGCUCAAGCACACCACCGAAGACGCGGCAGUAUUUUGUACUGGGUAGGAGAGCGUCCCAUGAGGGGCGAAGCGGCCGUGUGAACGCGCCGUGGACUUCAUGGGAGUGAGAAUGCAGACAUGAGUAGCGAGAGACGGGUGAGGAUCCCGUCCGCUGGAUGACCAAGGGUUCCAGGGCCACGUUCAUCGUCCCUGGGUGAGUCGGGUCCUAAGGCGAGGCCGACAGGCGUAGUCGAAUGGAUGAACGGGUGGAUAUUCCCGUACCGGCAGCGAACCGCAAGAGCCGAACGGAUGAGUACUAACCUCCGGUCGCGUGGCGUCGUUCCCUUCGGGGUUCGGGGCUCGUGAUUGUUGGGAAUGUAGUCCUGGUAGGUUAGCGCACAGGGGUGACACGGAAUGGGAGCCGGCCGCGGAGGUGGUUUUCCGUGGUCAAGCACGCAGCCAGUCAUGUAGGCAAAUCCGCAUGGCGUGCAUGGCGAGGUGUGAUGAUGGGAGCCGUUAUGGCUCGAUAUCCGGUUGUCCAGGCCGUCGAGAAAAGCCUCGGCGUGAGGGCCAUGGCCGCCCGUACCCCAAACCGACACUGGUGGUCAGGUAGAGAAUACCAAGGCGAUCGAGCGAAUCCUGGUCAAGGAACUCGGCAAAUCACUCCCGUGCCUUCGGUAUAAGGGAGACCCCUGAUGGUGAUGGAACUUGCUUCCGGAGCUUUCGGGGGUGGCACAGACCAGGGGGUAGCGACUGUUUACCAAAAACACAGGUGCAUGCGAAGGCGAAAGCCGCUGUAUAUGCACUGACGCCUGCCCGGUGCCGGAAGGUUAAGAGGAUCCGUCAGCCUUCGGGUGAAGCGGUGAAUUCAAGCCCCGGUAAACGGCGGUGGUAACUAUAACCAUCCUAAGGUAGCGAAAUUCCUUGUCGGGUAAGUUCCGACCUGCACGAAUGGCGUAACGACUUCCCCACUGUCUCGACCAGGAGCUCGGCGAAAUUGCAGUACGAGUAAAGAUGCUCGUUAAGCGCAGAAGGACGAAAAGACCCCGGGACCUUUACUAUACCUUGGUAUUGGCGUUAGGCGCGGAUUGUGUAGCAUAGGCGGGAGGCUUCGAAGCGCGGGCGCCAGCCCGUGUGGAGCCGCAAGGUGAAAUACCGCUCUGUUCUCGUUUGACGUCUCACCUCGAACAGUCAUCCUGUUCAGGGACAGUGCCUGGCGGGUAGUUUAACUGGGGCGGUUGCCUCCCAAAGAGUAACGGAGGCGCUCAAAGGUCCGCUCAGCCCGGUUGGCAAUCGGGUUUCGAGUGUAAUCGCACAAGCGGGCUUGACUGCGAGAACGACGGUUCGGGCAGGGACGAAAGUCGGAGAUAGUGAUCCGGUGCCGGCGCACGGGCGCGGCAUCGCUCAACGGAUAAAAGGUACCCCGGGGAUAACAGGCUGAUCAUUCCCAAGAGUCCAUAUCGACGGGAUGGUUUGGCACCUCGAUGUCGGCUCGUCGCAUCCUGGGGCUGGAGCAGGUCCCAAGGGUUCGGCUGUUCGCCGAUUACAGCGGCA
RNAcentral lists this ribosomal RNA (2126 nucleotides) under human gut metagenome. RNAcentral's name for it is "bacterial LSU rRNA". It matches the Rfam family "Bacterial large subunit ribosomal RNA", at positions 589 to 2598 of the family's 2925-position model. The record is from RNAcentral.